Molecule: ribosomal RNA, 322 nt
Filed under: uncultured Pseudomonadota bacterium
Lineage: Bacteria; Pseudomonadati; Pseudomonadota
Description: bacterial SSU rRNA
Rfam family: Bacterial small subunit ribosomal RNA
Source: RNAcentral
AUUGAACGCUGGCGGAAUGCUUUACACAUGCAAGUCGAGCGGCAGCGCGGGGGCAACCCUGGCGGCGAGCGGCGAACGGGUGAGUAACAUAUCGGAACGUACCCAGUCGUGGGGGAUAACACAUCGAAAGGUGUGCUAAUACCGCAUACGACCUGAGGGUGAAAGCGGGGGACCGUAAGGCCUCGCGCGAUUGGAGCGGCCGAUAUCGGGAUUAGCUUGUUGGUGAGGUAAAGGCUCACCAAGGCGACGAUCCGUAGCGGGUCUGAGAGGACGACCCGCCACACUGGAACUGAGACACGGUCCAGACACCUACGGGUGGCAG